This 386-nucleotide ribosomal RNA is filed under the name uncultured bacterium. Its description in RNAcentral is "bacterial SSU rRNA". It matches the Rfam family "Bacterial small subunit ribosomal RNA", at positions 370 to 772 of the family's 1533-position model. The record is from RNAcentral.
AAUGGGCGAAAGCCUGAUGCAGCAACGCCGCGUGGAGGAUGAAGGCCUUCGGGUUGUAAACUCCUUUACUGAGGGAAGAGAAAGGACGGUACCUCGGGAAUAAGUCUCGGCUAACUACGUGCCAGCAGCCGCGGUAAUACGUAGGAGGCGAACGUUAUCCGGAAUCACUGGGCGUAAAGCGCACGCAGGCGGCUCUAUAAGUCCGACGNGAAAGCUCCUGGCUUAACUAGGAGAUGCCGUUGGAUACUGUGGAGCUUGAGGUUAGGAGGGGAAAGUGGAAUUCCCGGUGUAGUGGUGGAAUGCGUAGAUAUCGGGAGGAACUCCAGUGGCGAAAGCGACUUUCUGGCCUACACCUAACGCUGAGGUGCGAAAGCGUGGGGAGCAAA